UCAAAAGUCAGUCGGGAGCCCUAGUGGCUGCCGUCUACACCCAAGUCUUUUGUGUACUCAUUGUUUCCUCGGCGGCGUAAGUCGCCGAAUGGGCAAACUAAAACCUUUUUGUAAUUGCAAUCAGCGUCAUUAAAUAUAAUAAUAUUUA
Molecule: unclassified non-coding RNA, 148 nt
Filed under: soil metagenome
Description: partial internal transcribed spacer 1
Source: RNAcentral